This 501-nucleotide ribosomal RNA is filed under the name uncultured bacterium. RNAcentral's name for it is "bacterial SSU rRNA". It matches the Rfam family "Bacterial small subunit ribosomal RNA", at positions 40 to 524 of the family's 1533-position model. The record is from RNAcentral.
CGGCAGACGUACCAUGCGACGUCUGUACGGAGAGUGAGGACACUCACUCUCAGUGGCAAACGGGUGAGUAACGCGUGAAUAACCUGCCUUUGAGAAGGGGAUAACUGUCCGAAAGGAUAGCUAAUACCCUAUAUUGCCUUUUGUCACUAAGGCAAAAGGUGAAAGCGAGGCUGUCAAAGGCUUCGGCUCAAAGAGGGGUUCGCGUCCUAUCAGGUAGUUGGUGGGGUAAUGGCCUACCAAGCCAAUGACGGGUAGCUGGUCUUAGAGGAUGAUCAGCCACAGUGGGACUGAGACACGGCCCGCACCCCUACGGGGGGCAGCAGUGGGGAAUCGUGGGCAAUGGGCGCAAGCCUGACCCCGCAAUGCCGCGUGAGGGAAGAAGCCCUUCGGGGUGUAAACCUCUGUCAGAUGGGAAGAUGGGACUAGGGGCUAAUACCUCCUAGUCUUGACGGUACCAUCAGAGGAAGGGACGGCUAACUACGUGCCAGCAGCCGCGGUAAU